AUCCAUCUGACGAGUCCCAAAUAGGACGAAAUCUGAGUCCUAGAU
This 45-nucleotide non-coding RNA is filed under the name Schistosoma haematobium. The record is from RNAcentral. Lineage: Eukaryota; Metazoa; Platyhelminthes; Trematoda; Strigeidida; Schistosomatidae.